Molecule: long non-coding RNA, 384 nt
Filed under: Equus asinus (donkey)
Lineage: Eukaryota; Metazoa; Chordata; Mammalia; Perissodactyla; Equidae
Description: lncRNA (ENSEASG00005030741.1)
Source: RNAcentral
CAGGGCUUCUGUGGCAGCAGCGCCACCCGGCCCCCGCCUCCCCCCUCCAGGCAGCGUUGUCAGAGGUUGUCUGCCGGGGACACUGACAGUAACCGUGUGGUCAGGAGGUUUGACCAGCACAAUCUGCACCAUGAUGAGGACCACAGAGAUUUUGAAACAAGACAAACCCAGGUUUGAAUCCUGCAGUUACAGUUACUUCUUGGUCGUGAGGCUCCAGCCUCAUCGUGUGGCUUCUCUGAGGCUCAGUCUCCACGUCUUAAAGUGAAGAAAUGGCCUCGCUUCAUGCUCUGUCAUGGGGAUUAGGAAUAAGCAAAUUCUGAGCCAGCAAGUGCUGACAGGACGACAUCCUCGGCUCAGUUCUCUCAGAUGUUGUCAUACUUGCAG